Molecule: ribosomal RNA, 397 nt
Filed under: uncultured bacterium
Lineage: Bacteria
Description: partial 16S ribosomal RNA
Rfam family: Bacterial small subunit ribosomal RNA
Source: RNAcentral
AUACGUAGGUGACAAGCGUUAUCCGGAUUUACUGGGCGUAAAGGGCGUGUAGGCGGUCUUGCAAGUCAGAAGUGAAAUUCCUGAGCUCAACUCGGGCGCUGCUUCUGAAACUGCAGGACUUGAGUGCUGGAGGGGAUAGCGGAAUUCCUAGUGGAGCGGUAAAAUGCGCAGAUAUUAGGAGGAACACCGGUGGCGAAGGCGGCUAUCUGGACAGUAACGGACACUGAGGCGCGAAAGCGUGGGGAGCAAACAGGAUUAGAUCCCCUGGUAUUCCACGCCGUAAACGAUGAAUACUAGGUGUAGGGGGUAUCGACUCCCUCUGUGCCGCAGUUAACACAAUAAGUAUUCCGCCUGGGGAGUACGGCCGCAAGGUUGAAACUCAAAUGAAUUGACGGGG